RNAcentral lists this ribosomal RNA (418 nucleotides) under uncultured bacterium. RNAcentral describes it as "bacterial SSU rRNA". It matches the Rfam family "Bacterial small subunit ribosomal RNA", at positions 356 to 773 of the family's 1533-position model. The record is from RNAcentral.
GAGGAAUAUUGGGCAAUGCCCGUAAGGGUGACCCAGCAACGCCGCGUGGAGGAUGAAUGCCGUAAGGUUGUAAACUCCUGUGAGAAGGGACGAAAAAGUGGAUUUAAUCCAAAUUGACUGUACCUUCAGAGGAAACCCCGGCUAACUACGUGCCAGCAGCCGCGGUAAUACGUAGGGGGUUAGCGUUGUCCGGAUUUACUGGGUGUAAAGGGCGCGUAGGCGGGUUUGUUAGUCAGAGGUGAAAUCUCCCGGCUUAACCGGGAAACUGCCUUUGAUACUGCAAAUCUUGAGUUCAGAAGAGAGAGAUGGAAUUCCAGGUGUAGUGGUGAAAUACGUAGAUAUCUGGAAGAACACCAGUGGCGAAGGCGAUCUCUUGGUCUGAUACUGACGCUGAGGCGCGAAAGCGUGGGUAGCAAAC